GGGAAGAGCCCAGCACCGAAGCCUGUGGCCGUUUGGUCACUAGGCAAUGUGGUGUUUAGGUUGGUUCUUCGAAGUUGUUGCUCCAUUCUAAGUCCUGUUAUGAAUACGGUAUUAUUAACAUGGCCCACAGAGGGUGAAAGGCCCGUGUGAGUGGAGUGAUAGCUUCUUGAGCUAACCUUGGAGUCGGGUUGUUUGUGAAUGCAGCCCAAAGUGGGUGGUAAACUCCAUCCAAGGCUCAAUACUGGCACGAGUCCGAUAGCGAACAAGUACCGUGAGGGAAAGUUGAAAAGUACUCUGAAGAGAGAGUAAACAGUACGUGAAACCGCUCAGAGGUAAACGAGUGGAGUUGAACUGCAAGCCCUGGAGAUUCAGCUGGUAAGCAUGGUUUAAACUUGGUUAUUUUGGUCGGCUUCGAAGGUCUGCCUACCAGCAGGUCGUUGCCCUUGGGUAGCGAUUCGCGUCGCACUUAUCAAGUGCUGCGAGCCUUUGUUGUCGCGGACCGGUUUGCCAGUGCACUUCUUCAGGGUGUUCACCACGACCGGCGCUGCUGUCUGUCUACUGUGGUCUAACCGUUUGUGCUUAGCCUUUACGGGCUAGGUCUUGCGGAAUGGCAGGUAACUUGUUGGCUUUCGGGCUUUCAGGUGUAAUAGCUGAUUACAGUGGAGUUGUGCGGUGCGUCGGAGACGGCGGCUACAGUGUGUGCGUGGGUGAUGGUUCAGUUGUCGGGGUGCGAGUCUGGUUGUCAUGUUGCCUGUUUAUGCAGGCCUGGCAGUGGCUUGUCCUUGUGCAAUUGGCGUUUGCCUAUGUGACAUUUAUUGGAGCCAAUAGUCUGUGGUGUAGUGGUAAACUCUCUACUCGACCCGUCUUGAAACACGGACCAAGGAGUUUAACAUGUGCGCGAGUCAUUGGGUAUUUGAAACCUACAGGCGCAGUGAAAGUAAAUGUUUGGCUUUGCCAAGCAGAGGUGAGAUCCUGUUGUUUCUCAUGCGUGGUACUACCAAGUAUUGGAGCGGCAGGCGCAUCACCGGCCCGUCCCAUGGUGUGGUCAUGGUCUCUUGGGGCUGUGCAUCACCGGGGCGGAGCAUGAGCGCACACGUUGAGACCCGAAAGAUGGUGAACUAUGCUUGUGCAGGUUGAAGCCAGAGGAAACUCUGGUGGAGGACCGCAGCGAUUCUGACGUGCAAAUCGAUCGUCAAACAUGAGUAUAGGGGCGAAAGACUAAUCGAACCAUCUAGUAGCUGGUUCCCUUCGAAGUUUCCCUCAGGAUAGCCGCUA
Molecule: small RNA, 1275 nt
Filed under: Gonocerca sp. DA-2012
Lineage: Eukaryota; Metazoa; Platyhelminthes; Trematoda; Azygiida; Derogenidae
Description: sequence contains 28S rRNA gene
Rfam family: Eukaryotic large subunit ribosomal RNA
Source: RNAcentral